This 469-nucleotide ribosomal RNA is filed under the name Anaerococcus tetradius. RNAcentral describes it as "bacterial SSU rRNA". It matches the Rfam family "Bacterial small subunit ribosomal RNA", at positions 54 to 525 of the family's 1533-position model. Lineage: Bacteria; Bacillati; Bacillota; Tissierellia; Tissierellales; Peptoniphilaceae. The record is from RNAcentral.
CAUGCAAGUCGAACGAUGAAGAUAUUUAGAUUCCUUCGGGAUGAAAAAUAUUGGAUUAGUGGCGGACGGGUGAGUAACGCGUGAGUAACCUGCCUUACACAAGGGGAUAGCCGUUGGAAACGACGAAUAAUACCCUAUGACAUAAACUCUUCGCAUGAAGAGCUUAUCAAAGAUUUAUCGGUGUAAGAUGGACUCGCGUCUGAUUAGCUAGUUGGUGAGGUAACGGCCCACCAAGGCAACGAUCAGUAGCCGGCUUGAGAGAGUGUACGGCCACAUUGGGACUGAGACACGGCCCAGACUCCUACGGGAGGCAGCAGUGGGGAAUUUUGCACAAUGGGGGAAACCCUGAUGCAGCGACGCCGCGUGAUUUAGAAGGCCUUCGGGUUGUAAAAAUCUUUUGUAUGGGAAGAAAAUGACAGUACCAUACGAAUAAGGACCGGCUAAUUACGUGCCAGCCGCCGCGGUAAUU